RNAcentral lists this ribosomal RNA (483 nucleotides) under uncultured bacterium. Its description in RNAcentral is "partial 16S ribosomal RNA". It matches the Rfam family "Bacterial small subunit ribosomal RNA", at positions 29 to 506 of the family's 1533-position model. The record is from RNAcentral.
AUUGAACGCUGGCGGCAGGCCUAACACAUGCAAGUCGAGCGGAUGAAGGGAGCUUGCUCCUGGAUUCAGCGUCGGACGGGUGAGUAAUGCCUAUGAAUCUGCCUGGUAGUGGGGGAUAAUGUCCGGAAACGGGCGCUACUACCGCCUACUUCCUGCGCGAGCUAGAUGGUGAUCUUCGGACCUCACGCUCUCAUAUGAGCCUAGGUCGGAUUAGUUAGCUGGUGGGGUAGAGGCCUACUAAGGAGACGAUCGGUAACUGGUCUGAGAGGGUGAUCAGUCACACAGGAGCUGAGACACGGUACAGAGUCCGACGGGAGGCAGCAGUGGGGAAGAGUGGAAGAAGGGCGAAAGACUGAUCCAGCCAUGGCGCGUGGGUGAAGAAGGGCUGCGGAUUGGAAAACACUUUAAGGUGGGAGGAAGGGCAGUAAGUUAAAACCUUGCUGAGUGGACGUUACGAACAGAGUAAGCACCGGCAAACUUGGU